CCUACGGUGGACUGCAGUGAGGAAUAUUGGUCAAUGGGCGCGAGCCUGAACCAGCAACGUCGCGUGAGGGAAGACGGUCCUAUGGAUUGUAAACCUCUUUUGUCGGGGAGCAAAAGACGCCACGCGUGGCGUUCCGAGAGUAACCGACGAACAAGCAUCGGCUAAAUCCGUGCCAGCAGACGCGGUAAUACGGAGGAUGCGAGCGUUAUCCGGAUUUCUUGGGGUAAAAGGGUGCGACGGCGGAAGUUCAAGUCAGCGGUAAAAUUGAGAGGCUCAACCUCUUCGAGCCGGUGAAACUGGUUUUCUUGAGUUCACAACAGGCAGGCGGAAUUCGUGGUGUAGCGGUGAAAUGCAUAGAUAUCACGAGGAACCCCUAUUGCGAAGGCAGCCUGCCGGGGUGCGACUGACGCUGAGGCUCGAAGGUGCGGGUAUCAAACAGGAUUAGAUACCCUUGUAGUC
Molecule: ribosomal RNA, 459 nt
Filed under: uncultured bacterium
Lineage: Bacteria
Description: partial 16S ribosomal RNA
Rfam family: Bacterial small subunit ribosomal RNA
Source: RNAcentral